UACGAAGGGGGCUAGCGUUGCUCGGAAUCACUGGGCGUAAAGGGUGCGUAGGCGGGUCUUUAAGUCAGGGGUGAAAUCCUGGAGCUCAACUCCAGAACUGCCUUUGAUACUGAAGAUCUUGAGUCCGGGAGAGGUGAGUGGAACUGCGAGUGUAGAGGUGAAAUUUGAUAAAAUUAGAGAGAAUACCAAUGGCGUAAGCAACUAUCUGGUCCUUAACUGAUACUGAGGUGCGAAGGUAUGGGGAGCGAAUAGG
Molecule: ribosomal RNA, 253 nt
Filed under: uncultured bacterium
Lineage: Bacteria
Description: partial 16S ribosomal RNA
Rfam family: Bacterial small subunit ribosomal RNA
Source: RNAcentral